Podarcis lilfordi (Lilford's wall lizard) is the source of this 80-nucleotide non-coding RNA. NCBI's taxonomy places the organism in Eukaryota, Metazoa, Chordata, Lepidosauria, Squamata, Lacertidae. The record is from the annotation of a GenBank genome assembly.
ACUGGGAUAGCUCAGUUGGUAGAGCACAAGGCUCUUAGUCUCAGGGUCAUGGGUUUGAGCCCUACAGAAACUUCUAAGUA